Long non-coding RNA from Perognathus longimembris pacificus (Pacific pocket mouse), 203 nucleotides. RefSeq lists it as uncharacterized. NCBI's taxonomy places the organism in Eukaryota, Metazoa, Chordata, Mammalia, Rodentia, Heteromyidae. The transcript is spliced from 3 exons. The record is from RefSeq and is a predicted model, not a curated record.
GCAGGGAAAUGCAAACAGCCGGGAUAACUAAACCACAUGCUAUUGGUGUUCCAAAGAAAAUAUGGAUUGGGGAUGAAGAUGGAGGAGCUGAGGGCAGACAGAGAAAAACUGGAAGUGCCUCUUGCAGCCCUAACUUGGUGUAAAGUGUUUGGGGCUGUUUUGUGGAGAUGCUAGAAUACGAUGGAUGAACAGAGGUAAGAAGC